This is a non-coding RNA of Picea glauca (white spruce), 129 nucleotides long. NCBI's taxonomy places the organism in Eukaryota, Viridiplantae, Streptophyta, Pinopsida, Pinales, Pinaceae. The record is from Rfam.
UCUUAUGUACAUACCUAUAAAUUAGUGUUAAUGCAUUGGAUCCCAUUAGAACUCCGCAGUUAAGCAUGCUCGGGCUAGAGUAGUACUAGGAUGGGUGAUCGCCCGGGAAGUCCUAGCAUUUUACAUGCC